RNAcentral lists this ribosomal RNA (371 nucleotides) under uncultured bacterium. RNAcentral's name for it is "bacterial SSU rRNA". It matches the Rfam family "Bacterial small subunit ribosomal RNA", at positions 29 to 413 of the family's 1533-position model. The record is from RNAcentral.
AACGAACGCUGGCGGCAGGCCUAACACAUGCAAGUCGAAUGUUGCAGUAAUGCGACAUGGCAGACGGGUGAGUAACACGUGCUUAAUUUACCCCGGAGUGGGGGACAACAUCGGAAACGGUGAUAAUCCCGCAUACGUUCCAUAAAAUGAAAAUAUAUGGAAGAAAGAUUUAUCGCUCUGGGAGAAGGGCGCGGCUGACUAGUUAGUUGGUGAGGUAAUGGCUCACCAAGACGAUGAUCAGUAGCUGGUCUGAGAGGACGAACAGCCACAAUGGGACUGAGACAAGGCCCAUACCCCUACGGGGGGCAGCAGUGGGGAAUCUUGCGCAAUGGACGAAAGUCUGACGCAGCGAUCUCGCGUGAAGGAUGAAG